Molecule: transfer RNA, 70 nt
Filed under: Echinostoma miyagawai
Lineage: Eukaryota; Metazoa; Platyhelminthes; Trematoda; Plagiorchiida; Echinostomatidae
Description: tRNA-Gln
Source: RNAcentral
GUAAUCUGGUGUUGUUAUGCAUAUUAUGUUUUCGUCAUAGGGGUAAUUUGUAGUUGAUUACAGUUUAAUA